AAAUGAAUUGACGGGGGCCCGCACAAGCAGUGGAGUAUGUGGUUUAAUUCGAAGCAACGCGAAGAACCUUACCAGGUCUUGACAUCCUACUAACGAAGCAGAGAUGCAUUAGGUGCCCUUCGGGGAAAGUAGAGACAGGUGGUGCAUGGUUGUCGUCAGCUCGUGUCGUGAGAUGUUGGGUUAAGUCCCGCAACGAGCGCAACCCUUAUGUUUAGUUGCUACGCAAGAGCACUCUAGACAGACUGCCGUUGACAAAACGGAGGAAGGUGGGGACGACGUCAAAUCAUCAUGCCCCUUAUGACCUGGGCUACACACGUACUACAAUGGCGAGAACAGAGGGUUGCUACCCCGCGAGGGCAUGCGAAUCUCUAAAACUCGUCUCAGUUCAGAUUGCAGGCUGCAACUCGCCUGCAUGAAGUAGGAAUUGCUAGUAAUCGCGGAUCAGCAUGCCGCGGUGAAUACGUUCCCGGGCCUUGUACACACCGCCCGU
RNAcentral lists this ribosomal RNA (490 nucleotides) under uncultured bacterium. RNAcentral describes it as "bacterial SSU rRNA". It matches the Rfam family "Bacterial small subunit ribosomal RNA", at positions 903 to 1397 of the family's 1533-position model. The record is from RNAcentral.